AAAACAUACGAACCGUCGGUCUACCGAGCAAUAUCGCCAGCUCGGUAGAAGACCUUCCUUUCGCAU
This 66-nucleotide microRNA precursor is filed under the name Bombyx mori (domestic silkworm). Its description in RNAcentral is "mir-2774 microRNA precursor family". It matches the Rfam family "mir-2774 microRNA precursor family". The record is from Rfam by way of RNAcentral. Lineage: Eukaryota; Metazoa; Arthropoda; Insecta; Lepidoptera; Bombycidae.